CAACCUGAGAGUUUGAUCCUGGCUCAGAACGAACGCUGGCGGCAUGCCUAACACAUGCAAGUCGAACGAGGGCUUCGGCCCUAGUGGCGCACGGGUGAGUAACGCGUGGGAACCUGCCCUGUGGUACGGAAUAACUCCGGGAAACUGGAGCUAAUACCGUAUGUGUCUUGAGGGACAAAGAUUUAUCGCCAUGGGAUGGGCCCGCGUAGGAUUAGCUUGU
Molecule: non-coding RNA, 220 nt
Filed under: Skermanella aerolata KACC 11604
Lineage: Bacteria; Pseudomonadati; Pseudomonadota; Alphaproteobacteria; Rhodospirillales; Azospirillaceae
Description: partial 16S ribosomal RNA
Rfam family: Bacterial small subunit ribosomal RNA
Source: RNAcentral